AUUGAACGCUGGCGGCAUGCCUUACACAUGCAAGUCGAACGGCAGCACGGGUGCUUGCACCUGGUGGCGAGUGGCGAACGGGUGAGUAAUACAUCGGAACGUACCUUAUCGUGGGGGAUAACGCAGCGAAAGCUGUGCUAAUACCGCAUACGCCCUGAGGGGGAAAGCGGGGGAUCGAAAGACCUCGCGCGAUUAGAGCGGCCGAUGCCUGAUUAGCUUGUUGGUGGGGUAAAAGCCCACCAAGGCGACUAUCAGUAGCUGGUCUGAGAGGACGAUAAGCCACACUGGGACUGAGACACGGCCCAGACUCCUACGGGAGGCAGCAGUGGGGAAUUUUGGACAAUGGGGGCAACCCUGAUCCAGCAAUGCCGCGUGAGUGAAGAAGGCCUUCGGGUUGUAAAGCUCUUUUGUCAGGGAAGAAACACCGGCUCUAACACAGUCCGGGAAUGACGGUACCUGAAGAAUAAGCACCGGCUAACUACGUGCCAGCCGCCACCGUAA
This 501-nucleotide ribosomal RNA is filed under the name uncultured bacterium. RNAcentral describes it as "partial 16S ribosomal RNA". It matches the Rfam family "Bacterial small subunit ribosomal RNA", at positions 30 to 523 of the family's 1533-position model. The record is from RNAcentral.